GGGAAUAAACGUUCCGAAAGGAAACGCUAAUACCGCAUACGUCCUACGGGAGAAAGCAGGGGACCUUCGGGCCUCGCGCUAUCAGAUGAGCCUAGGUCGGAUUAGCUAGUUGGUGAGGUAAUGGCUCACCAAGGCGACGAUCCGUAACUGGUCUGAGAGGAUGAUCAGUCACACUGGAACUGAGACACGGUCCAGACUCCUACGGGAGGCAGCAGUGGGGAAUAUUGGACAAUGGGCGAAAGCCUGAUCCAGCCAUGCCGCGUGUGUGAAGAAGGUCUUCGGAUUGUAAAGCACUUUAAGUUGGGAGGAAGGGCAGUAAGUUAAUACCUUGCUGUUUUGACGUUACCAACAGAAUAAGCACCGGCUAACUUCGUGCCAGCAGCCGCGGUAAUACGAAGGGUGCAAGCGUUAAUCGGAAUUACUGGGCGUAAAGCGCGCGUAGGUGGUUUUGUAAGUUGGAGGUGAAAUCCCCGGGCUCAACCUGGGAACUGCCUCCAAAACUGCAUGACUAGAGUACGGUAGAGGGUAGUGGAAUUUCCUGUGUAGCGGUGAAAUGCGUAGAUAUAGGAAGGAACACCAGUGGCGAAGGCGACUACCUGGACUGAUACUGACACUGAGGUGCGAAAGCG
Molecule: ribosomal RNA, 629 nt
Filed under: Pseudomonas sp. 39
Lineage: Bacteria; Pseudomonadati; Pseudomonadota; Gammaproteobacteria; Pseudomonadales; Pseudomonadaceae
Description: bacterial SSU rRNA
Rfam family: Bacterial small subunit ribosomal RNA
Source: RNAcentral